RNAcentral lists this ribosomal RNA (466 nucleotides) under uncultured bacterium. RNAcentral's name for it is "partial 16S ribosomal RNA". It matches the Rfam family "Bacterial small subunit ribosomal RNA", at positions 29 to 523 of the family's 1533-position model. The record is from RNAcentral.
AGUGAACGCUGGCGGCGUGCUUAACACAUGCAAGUCGAACGGGCAAGAGCCGUAGCAAUACGGAGUUCUGCUAGUGGCAAACGGGCGAGUAAUACAUGGGAAUCUACCUUGGAGUCUGGGAUAACAGUUGGAAACGACUGCUAAUACCGGAUAUAACCGAGAGGUAAAAGAUUUAUCGCUCUAAGAUGAGCCCAUGGAGGAUUAGCUAGUUGGUAGGGUAAAGGCCUACCAAGGCGACGAUCCUUAGCUGGUCUGAGAGGAUGAUCAGCCACACUGGAACUGAGACACGGUCCAGACUCCUACGGGAGGCAGCAGUGGGGAAUAUUGGACAAUGGGCGAAAGCCUGAUCCAGCGACGCCGCGUGGGUGAUGAAGGCCUUCUGGUUGUAAAGCCCUUUCAGUGGGAAAGAUAAUGACGGUACCCACAGAAGAAGCUCCGGCAAACUUCGUGCCAGCCGCCGCCGUAA